Molecule: long non-coding RNA, 1329 nt
Organism: Syngnathoides biaculeatus (alligator pipefish)
Lineage: Eukaryota; Metazoa; Chordata; Actinopteri; Syngnathiformes; Syngnathidae
Exons: 2
Source: RefSeq, a predicted model, not a curated record
GACACACAAGCGUGAAGAGGGGAGGCUCAAACAUCAGAAUCUAUCCAUUUGAAUUUGACACCUAGAAAGCGAUACGAACGGAUUUCCUCAAAUGGACAGAGGGGAGGGAAAGAAAACAACAGCUGCUGCCACUAGGCAACUACUGCUAAGGCAUUUGAUACCCCUACCGCUGCAGAUGAGGCAUCUGUAAAGCUGAAGUUUAAGGAUAAAGUGUAAUAUUUUAACACUGACCUCAAAAGAAUCAGGUAUUGUACAACUUGCGUGUGAAUCUGAGUGUGUAUACCGUACUUGGACAAAAGUGGCCGAAAAUGGAUGCAUGUGUUGAAUUUUUUUUUUUUUUUUUUUGCUUACCUAGAUGGGGACAGUUAUGAAUGAAUGUAUAAUACAUGCAUUUUGUAUUUAAAGAAUAAUUUCAUCUUAAAUACACCCAUUCACCUCUCAAGAAACACUUUAACCUAAGCGAGGCAAGGUAGUACCUUUUUAGAGUUCAGUAAAAUAAAAAAAAAAAUACAGCCCCCAGGUUACACUAAUGUGCAAAAAAAGGAUUUAAAAAAAAAAAAAAGUUCUGUGUGGCAGAACAUUAAACUGGUGUAAUGUAUAUUUUUUUUUAUUCAGGGAAGGCAGUGGGUGGAGGAAGAAGAAAAGGAGGAGCAUGAGGGAGCAGUGUGGAAGGGGGGAGGAUGGGGUGCCAGCUUUCACUGGUGAGGAGAAACAUCUGGAAGCAUUUAUGUCUGCCGAGGGUGGCGUGGGCCCAAACGUUACAUCACCCGACAAAAUGCACACAAAGGCUGAGAAACAACAACAGAAAAAUCUAUACCUGUCGAUCUAACAUGUUGCACAAUGUUCGAGUGUGAACAAACUGACCCUCACAAUAAUUUUGAACCCACAGUCCAAACACUAAGGCCACACACACAAGCGUGCGCACACACACACUCACACAUACACACAUACACAGCAUCGCAACCCCCACGCCUUCUUCGGCCCCCGUAACCCAGUACGAUUUCCUGCAAAUUCCAAAGUCAGAUCCCGGCUGGAACACUUCAGCCCGCCUGCCACGUCAGUUUGCCUCCACCAUCCUCCCUGGCUGCGUCGUCUCUCGCUCUCUCUUUCUUUCUCUCUCUCUCUCUCUCUCUCUCUCUCUCUCUCUCUCUCUUUUGGCGGCCGCCAGCAUUAGAAAGUGCAACGUGUUCAGUUAGCGGCCGCCCGAGGCCCCAGGCUACCGUCCGUCUAGUUUGAAAGCUUUAGGUUACCGCAUGCGAACGAGGCCUCGGAAAGGACGACGAAGAGCGAGCGACCAGCGGCCACACUGACCUCUCGGUCCUUCCUCCC